RNAcentral lists this ribosomal RNA (256 nucleotides) under uncultured bacterium. RNAcentral's name for it is "partial 16S ribosomal RNA". It matches the Rfam family "Bacterial small subunit ribosomal RNA", at positions 524 to 776 of the family's 1533-position model. The record is from RNAcentral.
UACGGGGGGGAGCAAGCGUUGUUCGGAUUUACUGGGCGUAAAGGGCGCGUAGGCGGUCGUGACAAGUCACUUGUGAAAUCUCCGGGCUUAACUCGGAACGGUCAAGUGAUACUGUCGGACUAGAGUACAGAAGGGGCAACUGGAAUUCUCGGUGUAGCGGUGAAAUGCGCAGAUAUCAGGAAGAACACCCGUGGCUAAGGCGGCUCUCUAGUACGGUACUGGACGCUGAGACGCGAAAGCGUGGGGAGCGAACAGG